CACGCCGUAAACGGUGGGUACUAGGUGUGGGGGACAUUCCACGUUCUCCGUGCCGUAGCUAACGCAUUAAGUACCCCGCCUGGGGNUGCAACGCGAAGAACCUUACCUGGGUUUGACAUAUGCCGGAAAGGCCUAGAGAUAGGCCCCCCCUUGUGGUCGGUUUACAGGUGG
RNAcentral lists this ribosomal RNA (171 nucleotides) under uncultured bacterium. RNAcentral's name for it is "partial 16S ribosomal RNA". The stretch from base 1 to 80 matches the Rfam family "Bacterial small subunit ribosomal RNA", at positions 796 to 873 of the family's 1533-position model. The record is from RNAcentral.